GAUGAAGAACGUAGUGAAAUGCGAUAAGUAGUGUGAAUUGCAGAAUUCAGUGAAUCAUCGAAUCUUUGAACGCACAUUGCGCCCCUUGGUAUUCCAUGGGACAUGCCUGUUCGAGCGUCAUUUGUACCUUCAAGCUUUGCUUGGUGUUGGGUGUUUGUCCAUUCUCUUGCAGAGGGACUCGCCUUAAAGUAAUUGGCAGCCAGUGUUUUGGUUUUGAAGCGCAGCACAAGUCGCGAUUCAAAGCUAUACGCCCGCUUCCACAAGCCUUUUUCACUUUUGACCUCGGAUCAGGUAGGGAUACCCGCUGAACUUAAGCAUAUCAAUAAGCGGAGGA
RNAcentral lists this unclassified non-coding RNA (334 nucleotides) under soil metagenome. RNAcentral's name for it is "partial contains 5.8S ribosomal RNA, internal transcribed spacer 2, and large subunit ribosomal RNA". The stretch from base 1 to 120 matches the Rfam family "5.8S ribosomal RNA", at positions 35 to 154 of the family's 154-position model. The record is from RNAcentral.